ACGGGUGAGUAAUGCAUGGGAAUCUGCCCGAUAGUGGGGGCACAACCUGGGGAAACUCAGGCUAAUACCGCAUACGUCCUACGGGAGAAAGCAGGGGAUCUUCGGACCUUGCGCUAUCGGAUGAGCCCAUGUCGGAUUAGCUUGUUGGUGAGGUAAUGGCUCACCAAGGCGACGAUCCGUAGCUGGUCUGAGAGGAUGAUCAGCCACACUGGGACUGAGACACGGCCCAGACUCCUACGGGAGGCAGCAGUGGGGAAUAUUGGACAAUGGGCGAAAGCCUGAUCCAGCCAUGCCGCGUGUGUGAAGAAGGCCUUCGGGUUGUAAAGCACUUUCAGCGAGGAAGAACGCCUUGGGACUAAUACUCCCGAGGAAAGACAUCACUCGCAGAAGAAGCA
RNAcentral lists this ribosomal RNA (395 nucleotides) under Cobetia sp. KUR58. RNAcentral's name for it is "bacterial SSU rRNA". It matches the Rfam family "Bacterial small subunit ribosomal RNA", at positions 102 to 492 of the family's 1533-position model. The record is from RNAcentral. Lineage: Bacteria; Pseudomonadati; Pseudomonadota; Gammaproteobacteria; Oceanospirillales; Halomonadaceae.